Cervus elaphus (red deer) is the source of this 1706-nucleotide long non-coding RNA. RefSeq lists it as uncharacterized. The transcript has 4 exons. Lineage: Eukaryota; Metazoa; Chordata; Mammalia; Artiodactyla; Cervidae. The record is from RefSeq and is a predicted model, not a curated record.
CUUGCUUCCAGCCCAAGGCGGUCCCGCGGUUCGCCUGCCUGGCCUUAAAUGCCUCUUUCGGUAUCUCCUUACGCCCGUUUCAUAAGUCCAUCAUUCCAAAUUUCUGUCAUCACAAGAACUGAGGAAGAGAAAUAAAUCAACCUGAUGUUUGGUGCCGUGACACAGAUUGCUGACUGCCUCCAGAUAAGGCCUAAAAUGUGGUCAGUUGACCUAAUUACUGCUAGAAGUGGAAGCAGCUUUUACGCAGUGGAGAACCUAGUGUGCUCAUGUAAAGAAUCAGUUCUUCAUAAAUGUGAAACGGCUCAGCAUAUUUGAAUAAACGUUUGUUUACUCUUGGACUGGUAUUCAGAUGGUAUCAUCCAACAGAAGCUCUGUGUAUGACUGUGCAUCAGAGAAAUGAUUGGAUUAUGUGUCAGGUGACCCGGCCAGUGGAUUCACAGAGGAGUCAAGGGACUACACACUAGUUUCCCUUUUCCAGUCCCUUUUACACAGUCUUCUACAAUGAUUAUCUGGGCUUACCUCUUAUAAUUUUCAUCAUUUCCAUGAUGUAUAAUAUGCUGGAAACUGUUUAUGAUUCAUCAACUUUGAUCCUCUAUACACAGUGUAAUGGCGUUUCAUAGCACUUAAAAAUUUCAUGGUUUUCUUUUAUGUUGGGAUAAACCAAUAAAUUUCCAAAUAGCCUUCCUUAACAAUAAAAAAAUCCCAUGUGACAAAGAAAACAAUAUACUGUAUAGGAAACUACCGAUAUUUCCUUUAAACAGGGAUUUGUAAAUAGUUAUGAUAAUUCAAAUAAGAGGAUUGCUUUUUAAAGCAAAUGUUUAAUCAUAAGAAACUAAUUGAAAGCAAGUUAAAUUUCAUAAAUUGGAGCAUUUUACAAUGUAUACAAUUUUACAGUGCAGCAUUGUUCUAAAUCCAUAUCACAUAAAAAAGGAAAAAAAAAUACAUUGGUUGGAGAAAAAGAAAAUGUCUAACAAUAAAAAAAAUUCUGUCUGCUCAACUUUUGUCUCUUUCAGAGCAACAAAUAGUUGGCAGUGAUGUUAAAUCUUUAAUUUUCAAGUCUCCAAUGGCCCCAUUUAUACAUUUCAAAAUACAUACCAAACUCCUAUAAUACAGAAGGAAUUUCCAUUCUAUGCCUAGUACACUGUGAUAAAUUUCUUGAAACUGUUUCUUCUAUUUUAGCUGUUUCUUAUUUUGUUUUCAAAUUCAUUCUGUAAGUCUUAAAUAUAAGAAAACAACAGCAGUAACUACUCUGUAGCUUGAAAUGUUUUUACUUAAAUCUAGAUAGGUAAAGCUAGCUAGCAAGAUUAAAAUGAGAGAGAUGUCUUUAUGACCACAUUUUGGAGUGGUCAUAUUUUUUCUGAAGUAUUUUGGCAAAUUGUUAAUUAAAACAAUUGACACUAUUCAUUUUAACUGACACUACUAGAGAUUUUCUGAUAAUAGCAAUGCGUUCUUACCUUAGAAUAUGUUGAAACAAAAGUAGAGAAGAAUGGAUAAGCCAAUCUGCCAUGGUAUACAUUUAAAACUAUGGAACGGCACCUGGAGAAAAGUACUAUUUAUAAUGAAAUGUACAAAUGUUUCCAUUAUGUUUACUGCAGCUACAUAUAACAUCUGCCACAUAGUUCUUUAAUUCCUAUUCUUAAAGUUAUAAUGAUUCUAAGAAUUGAUUUUGUUGAACAGUUUGUUUAUGGAAGUGGUAGUGUCUGCCA